This 71-nucleotide transfer RNA is filed under the name Candidatus Woesebacteria bacterium RBG_16_40_11. Its description in RNAcentral is "tRNA-Gly". It matches the Rfam family "tRNA". From Rfam's summary of the family: Transfer RNA (tRNA) molecules are approximately 80 nucleotides in length. Their secondary structure includes four short double-helical elements and three loops (D, anti-codon, and T loops). Further hydrogen bonds mediate the characteristic L-shaped molecular structure. tRNAs have two regions of fundamental functional importance: the anti-codon, which is responsible for specific mRNA codon recognition, and the 3' end, to which the tRNAs corresponding amino acid is attached (by aminoacyl-tRNA synthetases). tRNAs cope with the degeneracy of the genetic code in two manners: having more than one tRNA (with a specific anti-codon) for a particular amino acid; and 'wobble' base-pairing, i.e. permitting non-standard base-pairing at the 3rd anti-codon position. RNAcentral also lists the same sequence under 3 other names. The record is from RNAcentral. Lineage: Bacteria; Candidatus Woeseibacteriota.
GCGGGUAUGGUUCAAUGGUAGAACAAGAGAUUUCCAAUCUCUUUAUGGGGGUUCGAUUCCCCCUACCCGCU